This 460-nucleotide ribosomal RNA is filed under the name uncultured bacterium. RNAcentral's name for it is "partial 16S ribosomal RNA". It matches the Rfam family "Bacterial small subunit ribosomal RNA", at positions 338 to 795 of the family's 1533-position model. The record is from RNAcentral.
CCUACGGGGGGCAGCAGUGAGGAAUAUUGGUCAAUGGACGAGAGUCUGAACCAGCCAAGUAGCGUGAAGGAUGACUGCCCUAUGGGUUGUAAACUUCUUUUAUAUGGGAAUAAAACGUUCCACGUGUGGGAUUUUGUAUGUACUAUAUGAAUAAGGAUCGGCUAACUCCGUGCCAGCAGCCGCGGUAAUACGGAGGAUCCGAGCGUUAUCCGGAUUUAUUGGGUUUAAAGGGAGCGUAGGUGGAUUGUUAAGUCAGUUGUGAAAGUUUGCGGCUCAACCGUAAAAUUGCAGUUGAAACUGGCAGUCUUGAGUACAGUAGAGGUGGGCGGAAUUCGUGGUGUAGCGGUGAAAUGCUUAGAUAUCACGAAGAACUCCGAUUGCGAAGGCAGUUCACUGGACUGCAACUGACACUGAGGCUCGAAAGUGUGGGUAUCAAACAGGAUUAGAUACCCUGGUAGUC